ACUUGUCCGUGAUUUACUCAUUAGCAACGUCAGCGCGGGCCUUCUCGACGAUGUGUGGCCAUGCCUCUCUGCAGCAGGCGUAUACUGGACCUUCUUGACCCGGGUUCAGGCCGGCCUCCGACUUGCAGUAGUCAAAGAAUUUCUUCUUCAACUUGUACCUCUUUUCUGAGAUUGUUUUCGAGUCCAAGUUGCCACGGUAGAUCGGCUGGUAAUUCUUCACGAACUCAACAUAGAGCGUCGACGACGGUACGAUUAUGUCGUUCAAGCCGUCGCUGAGGAGCCCAUGGAGAUGUGGUGAAUAGCCUGCAGAUGUCUCUUUCAUGCCAAUAGCUAUAAGGGCCUCGCUGCGACUUACUUGCGAAGGCCGAAGAGACAUUGUCGUUGUGGUCUUCAGUGUGGUUGUCGUCGCCGUCGGAGUAGCCUCCAGCGUCAUCAUCUCCAUUGGACUCGCCGGCGCCUUCAACGAUGGUGUCCGAUGCGCCGCUGGGGUUGCCCACCGCAGCCACGGACGUGGCGUCAUCAGCGUAGACCGCAUUUUCCUCUUUGCCAGAGCCGAUGUAGAUAUGCGUGUUGCCGCCGCUGCGUGAGUCGACGUCGAUCACCUCCAUAUGGAUAUGGAUGGAUGACUUGGGCUGGUUACCGUGAUGGUUGCUUGGGAGCGGAGGUAUGGCUUUGGCUGGUUGCCGUGAUGGUUGUUUAGGCAGUGCACGGAGGCAUGCCCAUAUAUAUACUGUACGCGAUAUAUUUCCUGGCGGGAACAACUAAAAGUUCUGGCGCCACAUGCAUUC
Molecule: long non-coding RNA, 788 nt
Filed under: Hordeum vulgare
Lineage: Eukaryota; Viridiplantae; Streptophyta; Magnoliopsida; Poales; Poaceae
Description: long non-coding RNA (HVUL_LNC014990)
Source: RNAcentral